This 617-nucleotide ribosomal RNA is filed under the name uncultured Chlorophyta. RNAcentral describes it as "eukaryotic LSU rRNA". The stretch from base 191 to 344 matches the Rfam family "5.8S ribosomal RNA". The record is from RNAcentral. Lineage: Eukaryota; Viridiplantae; Chlorophyta.
ACACACCGUGAACUCUUGGCCCUUGACCGGGAACAGGCGGGCGUCGGUGGCUUUACUGCCAUGCGGCGGGCUUCACGCGCCGGCUUCACAGCCGACCGUGCGGUUGACCUACUUAACCCAACAAACACCAAAUCAAUCAAUCUGAAGCAGCUUGCUGUCGGCCUGUCCGACAUGCAACUUAACAAAUGACAACUCUCAACAACGGAUAUCUUGGCUCCCGCAUCGAUGAAGAACGCAGCGAAAUGCGAUACGUAGUGUGAAUUGCAGAAUUCCGUGAAUCAUCGAAUCUUUGAACGCAUAUUGCGCUCGAGACCUCGGUCAAGAGCAUGUCUGGCUCAGCGUCGGCCCACCCCCUCGUUAACCACUUCCCUUGUGGAAGAGGCAAGACGGAUCUGGCCGUCUCUGUGCUCCUCGAGAGAACAGGGUCGGCUGAAGAACAGAGGCUUGAGCAUGGUCCCGCUGAAAGGGCGCCAGCUUGGUAGGUAGCUCACGCUGCAUGCCGCUGUCACCCCCAGGAACCUGUGCUGUAAAGCCGGCAGGAAUCGGUGGCUCACGCCCCGAACUCUUACAUUCGACCUGAGCUCAGGCAAGACUACCCGCUGAACUUAAGCAUAUCA